GCCCUAUGUAGCUUAAACUAAAGCAUUGGUCUUGUAAACCAAAAAUGAGAUCUUUCUCCUAGGACA
This 66-nucleotide transfer RNA is filed under the name Takydromus sexlineatus (Asian grass lizard). RNAcentral's name for it is "tRNA-Thr". The record is from RNAcentral. Lineage: Eukaryota; Metazoa; Chordata; Lepidosauria; Squamata; Lacertidae.